UGUUUCCUUUUUUGAUAAAAAACAAUCUUCAAAUAAAGACCACCAAAAUGCAAGAUCCAAACACCCACACUACAGAAGUCACAAAACCCCUGUAAACCCUAAUUUAAAAAUCCAAACUUUCUUGUUUUCUUCUCUAAUCCCUCAACUCUGGCUCACUCAACUUCAGCAAAAUGGCAUCUCUUUUCCAAAAACUAGCAAGAAACCAAUCCACCACAAGACUCAUCACAAGUUUCAAGAACCCAAUUUUAAGUCACCCCCCAGUCUUGAAUCAUCUUUCUCAACUCAACCCAACUCACCUCACCCCAAUUAGUCCACCGAGUCAACCCAAAACAGAGGACCCAUUUUCUCAUCAAUCCUUACAUUUCUACCCAAGUUUCUCAUUUGGGUGUUUUCUAAACCCCAUUUCUUUAUCUGGGUUGGUUCAAUCUGAGAUUCAAGUAGACGCUGUUUCGGAUGAUUCGGGUAUGAUGUGGGCUGAUAGUGUGAAGAAGAAGCGUAAGAGGAAGAUGNUUUUUUUUUUUUGAAGUAAUUGAAGACAUCAGCUUAAUCCUUAUAUUCAAUAAAUGAAGAUAACAUGAUGUGAUAAAUAAAAAGGAAUAAAAAAUAAACAAAGGCAGGAUGAACUGAAAAAGCCGAAGCUGAUGACGAAAAAAAGCGUGGUUUUAUAGCUUCUUUUCCUCCACUUUUUUUAUCAUUUAUAAGUGCUUCAUAUCAGUACCCAAACGCACCGCAAAAAACAAGAAGCGGGCUUCUAGGCUUAAAAGCCCAGAAGCCUUGCUCCCAAACACCCCCUAAGGGGCCGUUUGGCACCACUUAAAAAAAGUGACUUAUUGCUUAAAAUAAAAAAUAGAUUAUAAAUAAUAAGUGAACUUGACUUAUAAGUUAUUAAAAGUGUUUGGGUAACUUUUAUUUAUAAGUCAAUUGUAUUUUUGGUAAUUUAAAUUUAUAAAUUAAAAAAAUUUCAAAUUAUUAUAAUAAAAGAAACUUCUAUAAUAAAUAAAGUUUAUUACAUAUUAAAAUUUUAAAAUUUUCACAAAAAAAUGCAAAUUACUAAAAAAAGUCCAAAAAAAACUAGCAUUUCUAACUUCCAGCUUCUGACUUAAAAAUCCAAAAUAAGCACUCCUGCUUUUUUUUUGCCAAACACUACCUAAAAAGGAGAAGUGGCUUAAAGUGCUAAAAAAAGCCCGGAAGCACUUGUAAUCAGUGUUGCCAAACACCCGCUAAUAUUUCAUCGGAAAGACUUUUUUAAAAUUGAAUUUAAUCAAGUCUUAACCUUUUUCGGAUGAAUAUGUGAAUUUUCCAAGAUAUACACGGCGAAGUAUAUGCUUCAAUUGAUUUGUGACAUGUUGAUGUUGAUGAAUGAUUUUGGCAUUUUGCUAUCAAAAUAGGUAUUUAUAUAUUCAGAUGAAGUCUGCAUUUGUAAUGAAAAAGAACACACAUAUAUGGUUAGUGUAGACUAUAAAAUAUCCGUUUUCUGUUAAAUGGGCUGGCUAACCUGUGCCCUAAAGGCACAAGCAUGUGUAUUUAAUACACCUGCUCGUGGUUAACAGCUGUAGUAGAAUUAUUUUUUAUUUGUUCAAACUGCUUGUGCCCUCGGGGCACAGGUUAGCCAGCCCGUUUGUUAAAUCAGCGAUUCAGCAUAUGUAUUUGGACUUGACAUAUUGAAAACAAGAUUUAUGGAUGAUGCUGCACUUUGCUUCUGCAGUUCAGGAGGAAUAUGAAUCCAGCUUUCAAACCACUUUUAGAGGUAGUAAAACUUACAUAUGUGAACAUGAGUUGCCCUUAUAGCUCAGUGGUAGAGCGCCAGUCUUGUAAACUGGAGGUCCGUAGUUCGAUCCUGCGUGAGGGCAUUUUUUCUGUUUCCUUUUUUGAUAAAAAACAAUCUUCAAAUAAAGACCACCAAAAUGCAAGAUCCAAACACCCACACUACAGAAGUCACAAAACCCCUGUAAACCCUAAUUUAAAAAUCCAAACUUUCUUGUUUUCUUCUCUAAUCCCUCAACUCUGGCUCACUCAACUUCAGCAAAAUGGCAUCUCUUUUCCAAAAACUAGCAAGAAACCAAUCCACCACAAGACUCAUCACAAGUUUCAAGAACCCAAUUUUAAGUCACCCCCCAGUCUUGAAUCAUCUUUCUCAACUCAACCCAACUCACCUCACCCCAAUUAGUCCACCGAGUCAACCCAAAACAGAGGACCCAUUUUCUCAUCAAUCCUUACAUUUCUACCCAAGUUUCUCAUUUGGGUGUUUUCUAAACCCCAUUUCUUUAUCUGGGUUGGUUCAAUCUGAGAUUCAAGUAGA
This 2299-nucleotide long non-coding RNA is filed under the name Daucus carota (carrot). RNAcentral describes it as "long non-coding RNA (DCAR_LNC002304)". The stretch from base 1779 to 1850 matches the Rfam family "tRNA". Lineage: Eukaryota; Viridiplantae; Streptophyta; Magnoliopsida; Apiales; Apiaceae. The record is from RNAcentral.